RNAcentral lists this long non-coding RNA (824 nucleotides) under Nicotiana benthamiana. Its description in RNAcentral is "long non-coding RNA (NBEN_LNC042319)". Lineage: Eukaryota; Viridiplantae; Streptophyta; Magnoliopsida; Solanales; Solanaceae. The record is from RNAcentral.
UGCAAUCGCUAUGACCCUCUUGCGAAUCCUACCUUUCUCCAGUUAUAAAUCUCCACGUAGUCGAGUUCUUGCUUCCAUAGUUUUUUUGGCUACAUGUCUUUGUUUUUUAAGGUGGUGCAAAUCCCUCUCUAGCCGUGCUAUAAAAGAAUAACAGUGCUCCCUUUCAGCUUCAAAAUCUCUUCCCCUCUUGGCCAUUUCAUAUUCAACGAUCUUGACCUUUUCAUUCAUACUUUCCAUCCCCUAGUUGUAUUUUUCCCUCAACUGACGGACAAAACUUGCUAGUUCCCAUGCAUCCUUGGCUAUCUUGGCCUGAGCACUCGCUAACUCCUUUUCAGUCUUCUGUAAAUCAUCCUAGAAAUCAUGUGCCUUCUGGGUAAGGUUGUAGAUGAUCUUCUCGUCCUUUCUACUCCUUCCCGGGUUGUCAAUUGCUAUUUAUAUUUUCCGGGUCUGUGCUGUGAGAGCUUCAUUUUCUUGGAUCAAUCUUCUUUUCUCACCUUCGGCUUCCUGAACCUGAAGAUCAUUGUUGAACUCCAUGCUUCUCAACUUUUCUUUAAAGGCAUGAAUCUCAACUUGAUAUGUUCCCUUUGUCUCCAUGCUAAUCUCUCUUGGAUUUUGUCUUUGGAAGCUUGAACAUGAGGUCUUUUGGUGGGCCUUUAAGGUUUGUUUUCAGGCUCAAUGUUCAUACAUGACCUCUUAUCGAAUCAAGGAGCAUAGUGUGGAUCCACUUCUCCUUUUGCGACAUCUGGUACUUGAGUGCCAUUUUUAAGAUACCGGCAACUAUUCCAAUCAUGUUGAACUGAGGCUUCGGGCAAUGCGUCUUCCGG